Molecule: long non-coding RNA, 479 nt
Filed under: Daucus carota (carrot)
Lineage: Eukaryota; Viridiplantae; Streptophyta; Magnoliopsida; Apiales; Apiaceae
Description: long non-coding RNA (DCAR_LNC002518)
Source: RNAcentral
ACAAUAAUUUUACACACAGAGAUUACUGAAAAAUGGGCUUCUCUUUCAAAAAUGCAUUUGUGGUAUUCAUGGCCUUGUGGCUCCUCCUAGCUUCUGGUAUCUCUUCCCCUCUAGCUAGCUCCUUGUUUGUUUACACUAACUUGCUAGAUUUACAUAUAAUAUUUAUUCUCUUGUCUUUGUUUUGGCCAGGUUGCAUUGCAAGCCAUGGGGGCUCAAGUGGAGUGGAAAACAGAAGGGAGCUGAGGAAAGCUCCAUCUGGUCCUGACCCUAUUCAUCACAGUGCUGCUCACCCCAACAACCCUAAAUAUGCCACUUCUCCUCCCACACGCUACUAACUUCAUCCUACUAUGUACACAUAUUUCCGUCAGUUAUGACCCCUUUUUCUUGUAAAAACCGUGAUCGUAUUUAAAUAUCUGUAGUCGGCUAUGGCGAUAUGGUUAUGAUGUUCUUGACAUGAACAUGUACGUAGUAAUGCGAAG